GGAUGUGAUCAUACCAGCACUAAAGCACCGGAUCCCAUCAGAACUCCAAAGUUAUGCGUGCUUCGGCGAGAGUAGUACUAGGAUGGGUGACCUCCUGGGAAGUCCUCGUGUUGCAUUGC
RNAcentral lists this ribosomal RNA (119 nucleotides) under Triticum aestivum (bread wheat). RNAcentral also lists the same sequence under 1 other name. Lineage: Eukaryota; Viridiplantae; Streptophyta; Magnoliopsida; Poales; Poaceae. The record is from RNAcentral.